CUCUUAUAUGGGGGCAAGCCUGGAUGCCCGGGGUUAGGGGCUACAGACUUAAGGUCACUUUUCCAGAGGCAAGAUCUCGGGCUAAAGGGGCGGGAUCUCGCUUAGCUAUAUCUGGGUCCACUCUUUACCCAUAUAUACACAAGGUGAACUUUAGUAAGAAAUAACAACAAAGGCAGGAUCUCGCCGAAACUAGGCCAGCUUGGGUACCCUGGGGUUGGCUUGCAGUUGCACCAUAUAAACAGCCCCUAUAUAUAGGCAGUAUAUAUUUUUUCUGGUAAUUGGAGUCUUUGGAGAUUUUGUGUGUAAAUGACUAUAAAAAUGACCCUUUACGGGUGGGUGUUUCUGUCAACAUUUUGGAAAGCAAUAUUUUAUUAAAAAAUUAGAAUAAUCACAUAUUAAAUUCUGAUAGUAGUAUAUAUUGUAUUGUGUGAUUAAAGUAAGGUUAUUUUUUUGUUUACCCCACCUCUGCAUGCAAGGAUUUUUUGGCCACCCCACCUAAAGCAAGUAUUAUUUUUCAGUUACCCCACCAUUUUCUCUUCGGCCCCCAUCCCUGCCAUAAAUAAUGACCGGUCCCUAAGCCCACCACAUAUACUAACGCUCACUUC
Molecule: non-coding RNA, 605 nt
Organism: Paramuricea clavata
Lineage: Eukaryota; Metazoa; Cnidaria; Anthozoa; Malacalcyonacea; Plexauridae
Source: the annotation of a GenBank genome assembly